CAUCAACGUCAAAAGAGGAUAAAUCUUGCUGUGUGUAUGACGUGGAAAUAAAAUCUACACUUAUCAAUUGAUAAUUGCCAGGAAAUACACCUAGGCACACAAAGCACUAUACAAACAUUACACACCUUUACGAAAUGAAUCGAAUGAUUCUGGAGGACACAAAUUUCCUUUUAAAUUCCUAAAUUGAACUUACAUUGUUGAAUAAAUUAUAGUUAAACG
This is a non-coding RNA of Cinara cedri, 219 nucleotides long. The record is from the annotation of a GenBank genome assembly. NCBI's taxonomy places the organism in Eukaryota, Metazoa, Arthropoda, Insecta, Hemiptera, Aphididae.